GGGGGUGUAAUUGGUUUCGACAGUUAUUUAGAAGUAUAAAUAGCGAGUAGUGGAUUCUCGUUGGCCACUUAAAAAAACGGGAGAAUAAAUAUAAACGCUGAUCGUACAGAAUUAGCUUACGCUGCCUAAGUUGCAGUGUCGUCUUCUAAUAGCUUCCCACGGCUAUUAACAAGGCGUCGAUUAUGUGGGAAACAAAGCUAUUUCUUGCUAUGGGAAUAGUGGGUAUUUUAUAGCUACUUUAAUAUGUUGUUUGUUUGUUAAUGACAUAUUAGGGGAAUUUUAAUAACAAACUGCACUCGGAGAAGUUUAUGUGGAAGAAUAAUUGGACAGGAGUUCGACUCUCCUCACCUCCACCA
Molecule: transfer-messenger RNA, 356 nt
Filed under: pig gut metagenome
Rfam family: transfer-messenger RNA
About the family: Bacterial tmRNA, also known as 10Sa RNA or SsrA, is named for its dual tRNA and mRNA-like properties. Its role is to liberate the mRNA from a stalled ribosome.
Source: RNAcentral